UGAGACCGACAAGGGGCAAUGAUUGAGGGGCACAUUGGAGUGAUUAUCAUGGGAAUCUGAUACGGAAGCAGAAGCGGUGGUGAUGACUGAUGAUAUGUGUGAAGAGAACAGACAGACACAUUAAGUGGGGAAGUCGGCGCGUCGACGUUGGACUGAAGAUACAAGGAAGUGCCAGGUGCUGUCUAAUACUACUCAUUUGUUUUUUUGUGAUGUGAGUGACCACUUUUGAUUCAAAACCUUUCUGCCUGUCUAAAUGUUCUAAUUCAAUAGUGUGUUGACCCAAAACCCAAAUCUAUAAAACUGAAAAUGAAUCUGUCCAACUUAAAAUUAUUUCGAGACUUAGUUGGACUAUUAACUUGUUAGAUGGAUGAUCAUUUAAUUUCUCAUAUUUUUUAUUUUUUAUUGAAUUUUAGUUUUUAACAGUGUAAAAUAUAUUAUUAGAUCUUACCUUUUCAUAGGCUAUUGAGGAGUGAAUGAAGAAACGUAAAUAGUGGAUAAACAAUCUCUUAUUAAUUAAAUUAAUCUCAUGAAUUUAAGGAAAUUGGAUAUUUGGCUGUGUGAAUAUGUUUUGUGAGUGAGAUAGAAAGACAUGAUAAGAGAGAAAUUUUGAGAUGAGAAUGAGAGAGUAAAAUGAUGAAAUUUUGAGAUGAGGAUGAGAGAGUAAAAUGAUGAGAGAGAGUAAAAUGAUGAAAGAGAGAUAUAGAGAUAAAUUGUUGCAUAGAGUGUACUAGAGAUGAUACUCCGUGUAUAUAAAUCUAAAUUUAAGAUAUAAAUAUAUAGGGUUUCUUUUUUAAAUCAAUGUAACCCAUAUGCAAAUGUGGAGAUUAAUUCUCUAAAUAAAUGAGAUUUAUUUAAAAGAUUGAUUUCUUCCAACAUAUAAUUUUGUUAACCUUGUGUGUUAGUGUCGUGUACAAUGUCUUUGCCAGUGUUUCAUAGGUUGUUCUUUUUACUUAGUGUUUAUACUUAUUGUGCAUAUCAUGCAUAUGUCAAUACAAUAGAAGAAGAAUCGUUGACGAGGUUGAUUUCUCAACUAAAUUCUAUAUCGAUAAUCGUACCAGCAUGAGGGAUGGUGAAGAUGCUUAGGAUUUUGAAAUCUUAUGGACUUGUUGGAUUAUGAUAAAUGAUAUUUCACAUCUUUUGUAUAUGAAUAAAUAACAAUAAUAAUAGUAACAUGUGAAAAUGUUCAGAAUCAAACAUGUUUCUUUUAUAAAAAAAAAU
Molecule: long non-coding RNA, 1218 nt
Filed under: Cicer arietinum (chickpea)
Lineage: Eukaryota; Viridiplantae; Streptophyta; Magnoliopsida; Fabales; Fabaceae
Description: long non-coding RNA (CARI_LNC000316)
Source: RNAcentral